Molecule: long non-coding RNA, 2513 nt
Filed under: Carassius auratus (goldfish)
Lineage: Eukaryota; Metazoa; Chordata; Actinopteri; Cypriniformes; Cyprinidae
Description: lncRNA (ENSCARG00000023721.1)
Source: RNAcentral
GAGGACAAACAAUCGGAUGCCACUGAGUCUUUUGAGACUGACAUCUUCAGAACAACCGAGCAGACUCCUCAGAGGUCAUCCAGCUUCAAGACACAGGUACUAGUUUCUCUCUUUUACGGUCUUUCAAUGGUUCAGACUUUAGGUUGUAACCUUCUACUGUUUAGUUUUGAGGUGUCCUCUUCCUAAUUGUUAAUUUUUUUCAUGGAAGUCAAUUUUAGAUUUGUAUACAUCAAUGUAAAUCCUAAGUCUGAUAUAAGCUGCUAAGCACAUUCUGGUUUUUGUGAUUUCAUGGGGACCAGUCAAUAGGACCAGUGUUUAGUGGUGACCUCUCCCUGUGAUACACACACCUGUCAGGUCUCUUGUCAUUGUGGGGUCCACGCAAACUAAAAAUUAUUGUAGACACUGGACCACAUUAAUGACUCUUUUCUGUCUAUAAGUCUGAACAUAUACAUUCUACAACAUGUGUCACUGAACUUGAGAUCAGUUUGCUUUCUCCAAUUCGUACAAGCUGUUGGCUACAGGUGAAUUUAGUCCUGCCACACUUCACUGUUACUACUUCCUCAACUGUAAUGGUUACAGCUGUCUUAUAGCAGGCAACAUACAUGUGACAGAAAUCACAGCCAACUUGAACCCAUCAAAAGUAACUUGGAUUUAGCCUCAGAUACAGGACACAUGUAAACAUUGCCACCACAUGCGUGUCUCCUGUCUCUCACAUGCGUUUAUGUUGUGUUUGCACUGAAGUAAUGCUUCUGCUGACCAUCUACUCCAUAAUAAUGUUUAACUCACUCUUCAGGAGGACAAACAAUCGGAUGCCACUGAGUCUUUUGAGACUGACAUCUUCAGAACAACCGAGCAGACUCCUCAGAGGUCAUCCAGCUUCAAGACACAGGAGGACAAACAAUCGGAUGCCACUGAGUCAUUUGAGACUGACAUCUUCAGAACAACCGAGCAGACUCCUCAGAGGUCAUCCAGCUUCAAGACACAGGAGGACAAACAAUCGGAUGCCACUGAGUCUUUUGAGACUGACAUCUUCAGAACAACCGAGCAGACUCCUCAGAGGUCAUCCAGCUUCAAGACACAGGUACUAGUUUCUCUUUUUUUAAUGACUUUCACUGGUUCAGACUUUAGUAAUACCAUUCCAACAAAAACUCUUCAAAGCUGUCGCUGUUAAUAUCCCAGAGGUAGCCAAAUAAACAUCACUAGCAAGUUAUUUUCCUAGUUGUAGACGCAAGCUCAAAGGGACAUAAUGAAAUCACUUAUGCUAUUACAUUCUAUUUGGCCAAAGAUAUGCCCAUUUACACAGUAGAAAGAGAAGGCUUCAGGAAGCUUCUGAAUGCACUGGACAAACGAUAUGAAAUCCCAUCAUGCACCUACUUUCACAGGUAGCUGUCCUGCAGUUAUAUUUUUGUCUUUUUUGAACAACAUCUGUGCUUUUGUCAGUGGUCCCGUUUAAACGUCUGUUAAAAGCAGGCUGUCAUUUCGCCAGCUACAGCUACGUAUUUAAUAGAUAUAACAGCAGAAGAAUGAAAAAUGCCCAGGAAGUUCUGCCAGUGACAUGAGUGAAGGAGAAUUGGAUGAGAGAGAGAUUAAUGCAGGCAUGGGUUCGUUUUAUUUAUUCUCAUAGCAAGGCAAACUAAGUGAUUAUUACCAAAACUUUGUUAUGGCAAGGCUAGCAGACCCAAGUGCAGGACUAAGAAUGGGAUUAGUUACAAAAGAGGAAUAUUUAUUGCAGGGUUAAAAGGAUCUAAUAUUGUGCGGGUGAAGAGUGAAAAUAGAUGCAUGCCGAACCAGUUGGUGGCUGCUUUUCAGAGCAGGGGUAACCGUAGUUGAGAGUCCAGAGUGAGAGAGUCUGAUCCAGUAGAUCCAGAGCAGAAUCUGGGAAUAGUUUAGCUGGGCAGGGGUCCAGGCGGAGAGCAGACGGGAUCCUUAACACUUAACUAAACAAUGCGUUAUUAUGCAUAAUUCUCUUUUAACUUUUAUUAUAGCAAGUAAAUGUUCUUCCUCUACAUUCGGCCUAAUAUAAUUAUUUCAAUGUGUUCAUUUAUAUUGUUGAAGCCUACAGUUUAGCCUAUUGAUUAAUGUUAAAAUGUAGGCUAUAUGACUGUUUUGAUCUGUAAUGAAAUUAAGCAUUUAACACAGCUGAGGACUUCAUUUUGUUUUCCCUUUGAUGUGAACUGGAGCGUUACGUUCACUGCUGUGAGCGGAGGUCAGGCGCGUGGAAAAAAAAACCCCCUCCAAUAUUUGAAUCUCAAUUUGAAAAUCGAAUGUUUACCUAACAAUGAAAUAUUCAGGUUCAGCCCUAGUCAUUUCCACUUCUAAAAGUGCAGUAUUGUCCUUGCUAUAUAUUUAAACCAUUUUUAUGCCACAUGUCUGUUUUAUUGAAAAAUAUGAAGAUUAAAUGUGGGUUUCCAGUGUUUUUGAAAUACCAUUUGAUGUACAUAGGUAUACAUUUAUGUAUGUGUGUGGUCAUUUAUAUCUUAUGUCUUCCUUUGAUGUUCUAUAGUGCCCACACG